CUACAACUUGCUAUGUGUGUCCUCUUGAAGGGCUGCAUUACAAUGGUAGGCAUGAACUAAGUUUCGCACCAGGAGAAAUUUUAUUAAGAGGUGCUCUCCCUAAUUACUAAGCAACAGAAAAAAUUUGAGUAUGCAAUGGCCAUACUUGAUAAAUCUCUUCUUAGGAAAGAAUUCAGUACUUAAACACUGCCAUGCUCUUCUAUGCACUGCUUUUUCUGGACUAUUACCUCUACUCUUACUGUGAUUUAUAGACUGGGACUUCAGAAUCUUGGAGAAACAGGAGCAAAUUUCAUCUUUUAAGUUUACUGCCACACAAGGACAAUAGAAGAGAAUGACUGUUUUCUGAUGGACCUGAAAGGCAGACAAGUGCUUUUUAAAAGUCAACUGCCUUGUCAGUUGAACCAGUUUACCAACGAUAUCCAAGUCUGUUGAAGAAGAUGUGUAUGGCUUUUAUGAGGAGCCUUGAGAGUAAUCAUGGUUUUGCCAGCUUUGAAGAGAAAACAGUAAUUAUUUCCUUAAAUUAUAUCUAUUCACCCCUCCAAUAGGGGAAAAUUACCCUUUAUUUCCACUCCAGGAUAUUGUGCUUUUAAUAUAUCCCUUCUCAGGUUUUCUGAGUCCAGCAGCAGGUGCUGAACAGCAGCCCAGUGUUGGAAAAACUAUUGAAUCCCUGGCAGAUUACAGCGAGAGGAAACCUUACCAGUGUCCCCAUCGCAGGUGAGAGAGCGCAGCCUGACCAUGCGAGACCUCCUGGAGGAAAACAGCCAGGACAGAAGGUGGAAGUUCAAGAGUACAGAGGAAACAAAGAACACCUCAGAAAGUGUUUGAAAGGAGACACUGCUCCCAGUUAAAUGGUGUGAAGACCCACAAAUGACUAACAGAGGCAAGCACUCCAGAUAUUCCUGGAUACAUUGGCAAGGUUCAUUGAUCAGCAGCUCACCCGGCAAAUUCCAAUCUUCCAUCAACAGCCCCAUCAGUAAUUGCAGGAAUGCAUGGGGCCUUUAUAUUUCUGAAGAAAGAAUGUCCAGAGUAUUCUGCAUGAAGUAAAGAUAAAGCUCUCAGCUGAAAAAAACGUGUUACAGCUUUCUGUCAUGUUCAAUUCACCAGUGACAGCCAGUCAAUUCAGGAUAAAAAAGCCUACCCAAGAUCAGAAAGAAGUCCUGUCCAGUUAACCAGGUA
Molecule: long non-coding RNA, 1176 nt
Filed under: Parus major (Great Tit)
Lineage: Eukaryota; Metazoa; Chordata; Aves; Passeriformes; Paridae
Description: lncRNA (ENSPMJG00000002687.1)
Source: RNAcentral